UGAUGUGUCCUGUCCUGUAAAUUCAC
This 26-nucleotide non-coding RNA is filed under the name Mus musculus (house mouse). Lineage: Eukaryota; Metazoa; Chordata; Mammalia; Rodentia; Muridae. The record is from RNAcentral.